RNAcentral lists this ribosomal RNA (465 nucleotides) under Vreelandella stevensii. RNAcentral's name for it is "partial 16S ribosomal RNA". It matches the Rfam family "Bacterial small subunit ribosomal RNA", at positions 338 to 795 of the family's 1533-position model. Lineage: Bacteria; Pseudomonadati; Pseudomonadota; Gammaproteobacteria; Oceanospirillales; Halomonadaceae. The record is from RNAcentral.
CCUACGGGUGGCUGCAGUGGGGAAUAUUGGACAAUGGGGGGAACCCUGAUCCAGCCAUGCCGCGUGUGUGAAGAAGGCCCUCGGGUUGGAAAGCACUUUCAGUGAGGAAGAACGCCUGGUGGUUAAUACCCAUCAGGAAAGACAUCACUCACAGCAGAAGCACCGGCUAACUCCGUGCCAGCAGCCGCGGUAAUACGGAGGGUGCGAGCGUUAAUCGGAAUUACUGGGCGUAAAGCGCGCGUAGGUGGCUUGAUAAGCCGGUUGUGAAAGCCCCGGGCUCAACCUGGGAACGGCAUCCGGAACUGUCAAGCUAGAGUGCAGGAGAGGAAGGUAGAAUUCCCGGUGUAGCGGUGAAAUGCGUAGAGAUCGGGAGGAAUACCAGUGGCGAAGGCGGCCUUCUGGACUGACACUGACACUGAGGUGCGAAAGCGUGGGUAGCAAACAGGAUUAGAUACCCCGGUAGUC